CAUUGAUCAAAUACUUGGAACGAAAAAUAACAUUGAUAGUUAGUAUUAAAUACCACUAUUGAUAACUAAUAUUAUUGUGUUACUAGCUAAAAUAUUAUUGUAUGUAUAAUAAUGAUAUCUGUACUGAGAUUUGUUUUUUGUUUCUAACAAUUAUUUUAAUGACAGGAUAUUUUGUGACACCAACGAUGUCUGCCCUGUGUAAUUGUAACAGAAUUAUAAUACCUCAUAUGUGUUGGAAAAAAUGUGGAAAGAAAGGAUAAAUUUUUACACUUCCAUCUCCAUUAUGUAACAGGAUUAUAAUAUAACCAAUUUCGUUUCUUUA
Apis mellifera (honey bee) is the source of this 322-nucleotide long non-coding RNA. RefSeq lists it as uncharacterized. Lineage: Eukaryota; Metazoa; Arthropoda; Insecta; Hymenoptera; Apidae. The transcript is spliced from 3 exons. The record is from RefSeq and is a predicted model, not a curated record.